UACGUAGGGGGCUAGCGUUGUCCGGAAUCAUUGGGCGUAAAGCGCGUGUAGGCGGCUCGAUAAGUCUGCUGUGAAAGUCCAGGGCUCAACCCUGGGAUGCCGGUGGAUACUGUCGAGCUCGAGUCCGGAAGAGGCGAGUGGAAUUCCUGGUGUAGCGGUGAAAUGCGCAGAUAUCAGGAGGAACACCAAUGGCGAAGGCAGCUCGCUGGGACGGGACUGACGCUGAGACGCGAAAGCGUGGGGAGCAAACAGG
RNAcentral lists this ribosomal RNA (253 nucleotides) under uncultured bacterium. Its description in RNAcentral is "partial 16S ribosomal RNA". It matches the Rfam family "Bacterial small subunit ribosomal RNA", at positions 524 to 776 of the family's 1533-position model. The record is from RNAcentral.